GAUGAACGCUAGCGGCAGGCUUAACACAUGCAAGUCGAGGGGUAUGCUUCUUCGGAAGCAGAGACCGGCGCACGGGUGCGUAACGCGUAUGCAAUCUACCUUUUACAGAGGGAUAGCCCAGAGAAAUUUGGAUUAAUACCUCAUAGUAUUAUAGAAUGGCAUCAUUUUAUAAUUAAAGUCACAACGGUAAAGAUGAGCAUGCGUCCCAUUAGCUAGUUGGAAGGUAACGGCUUACCAAGGCUACGAUGGGUAGGGGUCCUGAGAGGGAGAUCCCCA
RNAcentral lists this ribosomal RNA (276 nucleotides) under uncultured bacterium. Its description in RNAcentral is "partial 16S ribosomal RNA". It matches the Rfam family "Bacterial small subunit ribosomal RNA", at positions 28 to 310 of the family's 1533-position model. The record is from RNAcentral.